GAUGAACGCUAGCGGCAGGCCUAAUACAUGCAAGUCGAGGGGCAGCGGGGUAGCAAUACUGCCGGCGACCGGCGCACGGGUGCGUAACACGUAUGCAACCUACCUUAAACUGGGAGAUAGCCCGGGGAAACUCGGAUUAAUACCCCAUAAUACAUUGGUUCACAUGAAUUGAUUGUUAAAGAUUUAUCGGUUUAAGUUGGGCAUGCGUUCGAUUAGCUAGUUGGUAAGGUAACGGCUUACCAAGGCUACGAUCGAUCGGGGGUCUGAGAGGAUGAUCCCCCACACUGGGACUGAGAUACGGACCAGACUCCUACGGGAGGCGGCAGUAGGGAAUAUUGGUCAAUGGAGGCAACUCUGAACCAGCCAUGCCGCGUGUAGGAAGAAGGCGUUCUGCGUUGUAAACUACUUUUGAUUGGGAACAAAUGACUCUUGCGAGAGUAGCUGAGUGUACCAAUAGAAUAAGCCACGGCUAACUACGUGCCAGCCGCCGCGGUAA
This 496-nucleotide ribosomal RNA is filed under the name uncultured bacterium. Its description in RNAcentral is "partial 16S ribosomal RNA". It matches the Rfam family "Bacterial small subunit ribosomal RNA", at positions 28 to 523 of the family's 1533-position model. The record is from RNAcentral.